RNAcentral lists this ribosomal RNA (454 nucleotides) under uncultured Porphyromonadaceae bacterium. Its description in RNAcentral is "bacterial SSU rRNA". It matches the Rfam family "Bacterial small subunit ribosomal RNA", at positions 341 to 792 of the family's 1533-position model. Lineage: Bacteria; Pseudomonadati; Bacteroidota; Bacteroidia; Bacteroidales; Porphyromonadaceae. The record is from RNAcentral.
ACGGAAGGCAGCAGUGAGGAAUAUUGGUCAAUGGACGGAAGUCUGAACCAGCCAUGCCGCGUGCAGGAAUAAGGCCCUAUGGGUCGUAAACUGCUUUUGUGGUGGAGCAAUAAGGCGUACGUGUACGUCGAUGAGAGUACAUCACGAAUAAGCAUCGGCUAACUCCGUGCCAGCAGCCGCGGUAAUACGGAGGAUGCAAGCGUUAUCCGGAUUUAUUGGGUUUAAAGGGUGCGUAGGCGGGAUGUUAAGUCAGCGGUGAAAGUUUGCGGCUCAACCGUAAAAUUGCCGUUGAAACUGGCGUUCUUGAGUGUAAACGAGGUAGGCGGAAUGUGACGUGUAGCGGUGAAAUGCUUAGAUAUGUCACAGAACCCCGAUUGCGAAGGCAGCUUACCAGCAUACAACUGACGCUGAGGCACGAAAGCGUGGGUAUCAAACAGGAUUAGAUACCCUGGUA